This 635-nucleotide long non-coding RNA is filed under the name Capra hircus (goat). Its description in RNAcentral is "lncRNA (ENSCHIG00000004654.1)". Lineage: Eukaryota; Metazoa; Chordata; Mammalia; Artiodactyla; Bovidae. The record is from RNAcentral.
UGACUAUCAGUGAAGUCCUUACUGAAUAAGCUCAGUUUACAAUGAUGCUUUCAUAAUGGAUGACUCAAAUUAGGUAUUGAAAGAGAUGUCACUGAAGCAAAUCUUGAAAUAAGAGAUACUAUUUGAGGAAGGCUGCAAAGGAAAGAGGCUGAGGAGAGAGGAUGGGGAAGUUUUAAAGAUGGGGAAGGAGAUAUAUAUUAUAACUAAGCAAGUGCAAAAGAAUAGCAGGUAGAUGAACCUGCAGACUCAACUUUGUACGUGGACCUAGAAGGAUGAAGAAACCAGACUAGAAAGUGCAAGGCAUGUGCCCGGUAUCAUACACAGUUGGCACAUAAUCAACAUGGAUACCAAGGUUGUGCAAACAGCAAGACUUAUGCUACAGAGAACAUCCUUGGCUACAAUAGCCUUUAAAUCCAACAUCCAUGAGAGAGAAUACUCAGUCCUCAAGUUCAGAAUUUUGUCCCAGAAUAAAGGAGUCUGAUAGAUUUCUACCAUAAAGCGUCUUCUGUCUCAACCAUACCUGAUAUUAUUUUUCUCUCUUAUAUGACAUUCAUAGAAUCUAAUGAGCUAGCUGAAGCUUCAAGGUGAUUUAGCUUUCAACUCCUUUUUCCUUUGUCACUCAAUAUUGCUAAAAU